Molecule: long non-coding RNA, 1113 nt
Organism: Megalobrama amblycephala (Wuchang bream)
Lineage: Eukaryota; Metazoa; Chordata; Actinopteri; Cypriniformes; Xenocyprididae
Exons: 4
Source: RefSeq, a predicted model, not a curated record
UUAUUUGUCAAGUGAAGUUAUUGAUGCUGAAGGUUGUGAUGUAAAGAACAGGUGGAGUCAGUCACAUCUAUAUUAGUUUUGGUCAAACACAUCUGGAGCAUCAGAGUCGGUCAGACACUGAGAGUGAAUCAUCACAUAAUCAUUCUGUUCAGAGAUCAGCACUAAGAUCGGCAGCAUGCGUUCCACAGCUGUUUUUUUGAUACUGACCGUUCUAUUUAGAUCAGCCUGGCUGUCGCCAAAGAUUGAGGUCCAAAUUUCAGAGAUAAGUGAUGAUAUGAAGCGUGAUGCUCUUCACUCCGCUGUUCUGGCUCUGAAUAUGUACUCAAGAUCAAGUUCAAUUGCUGAAUACAUCAAGAAGGAAAUGGAUAGAAAGUAUGGGGGCAACUGGCAAUGCAUUAUAUGGUGCUACGGUUACUACAUUACCUACCAAUCGAACCAUUAUAUGAAGUUCACUGUUGGGGACAAAAAAAUUGUGCUCUUCAGAUCGCCCUGAGGUUCAGCAACAGUUCAAACACAAUUUAUUUGAUCCAAAACUUAUAAAAUAUCCCCCAUCAGAUUGUGGUUCAUGUGUUACUGUCUUUUUGCUGUGAAAUCUUUACUGAUUUUUAUAAAGUAAACAUAAGAAAAACUUUUAUAUUGUUAGUCAUAUUUCAAGAUGAAGAGUUAGUUUAUUUUUGACAUCUUAGUUUAUAUUUGGCCCAACAUAAAAUUUGUAAAUACAUAGUACAAAAAACACACAAUAAACAAUAGACAAACAGCAAACACAACAUUCUGACAUCUCACAAGAGUAAAAUCCUUACUGCAGUGGGAAUAAAAGAAUGCCUGUGCCGAUUGAUUUCCAGUAGGGAUACUAUAAUUCAUACCAGAAGAAAUCAUGUUAAAUUCAUGAACAGUGGAUGAGAUGAAGAGCAGCUCUAGCGUUCUGUAAAACAACCAUCUUCACUCAUACAUUUCUUACUUGUUAUUAUUUUUCUUGAAAUGCCAUAUAUGGUCAGGUUUGAUUCUUAAGUAGUUUGAUUGGACGCUCAAGACUGAGCUGAGGCUUAGUUGUUUGACCUAAGCCUAUAAACAUGACCAUUCUUCUGAAUAAAUGUGAGAAUGCUUUCUAUCACA